GACGAACGCUGGCGGCGUGCUUAACACAUGCAAGUCGAACGGAAAGGCCCUGCUUUUGUGGGGUGCUCGAGUGGCGAACGCGUGAGUAACACGUGAGUAACCUGCCCUUGACUUUGGGAUAACUUCAGGAAACUGGGGCUAAUACCGGAUAGGAGCUCCUGCUGCAUGGUGGGGGUUGGAAAGUUUCGGCGGUUGGGGAUGGACUCGCGGCUUAUCAGCUUGUUGGUGGGGUAGUGGCUUACCAAGGCUUUGACGGGUAGCCGGCCUGAGAGGGUGACCGGCCACGUUGGGACUGAGAUACGGCCCAGACUCCUACGGGAGGCAGCAGUGGGGAAUAUUGCACAAUGGGCGGAAGCCUGAUGCAACAACGCCGCGUGCGGGAUGACGGCCUUCGGGUUGUAAACCGCUUUCGCCUGUGACGAAGCGUGAGUGACGGUAAUGGGUAAAGAAGCACCGGCUAACUACGUG
This 468-nucleotide ribosomal RNA is filed under the name uncultured bacterium. Its description in RNAcentral is "partial 16S ribosomal RNA". It matches the Rfam family "Bacterial small subunit ribosomal RNA", at positions 28 to 507 of the family's 1533-position model. The record is from RNAcentral.